This 512-nucleotide ribosomal RNA is filed under the name Megaselia hirtiventris. RNAcentral's name for it is "partial 16S ribosomal RNA". The stretch from base 385 to 512 matches the Rfam family "Bacterial large subunit ribosomal RNA", at positions 2473 to 2600 of the family's 2925-position model. The record is from RNAcentral. Lineage: Eukaryota; Metazoa; Arthropoda; Insecta; Diptera; Phoridae.
UUUUAGAAAUUAAUUUAAAGUCUAACCUGCCCACUGAAUAAUUUUAAAUGGCCGCAGUAUCCUAACUGUGCAAAGGUAGCAUAAUCAUUAGUCUUUUAAUUGAAGGCUGGAAUGAAUGGUUGGAUGAAAUAUUAACUGUUUCAUAUAAAUUUAUAAUAGAAUUUUAUUUUUUAGUCAAAAAGCUAAAAUUUUAUUAAAAGACGAGAAGACCCUAUAAAUCUUUAUACUUUUUUAAUUUUAAUUAUUUAGAUAAAUUAAAUUAUAAUUAUCAAAAGUAUUUUAUUGGGGUGAUAUUAAAAUUUAAUAAACUUUUAAUUUAUAUUAUACAUAAAUUAAUGAAUUAUUGAUCCAUUUAUUAUGAUUAAAAAAUUAAGUUACUUUAGGGAUAACAGCGUAAUUUUUUUAGAGAGUUCAUAUUGAUAAAAAAGAUUGCGACCUCGAUGUUGGAUUAAGAUAUAAUUUUAGGUGCAGUAGCUUAAAUUUAAAGUCUGUUCGACUUUUAAAUUCUUACA